This is a small nucleolar RNA of Arachis duranensis, 108 nucleotides long. The record is from RefSeq and is a predicted model, not a curated record. NCBI's taxonomy places the organism in Eukaryota, Viridiplantae, Streptophyta, Magnoliopsida, Fabales, Fabaceae.
AAGCAUGUCAGAAGGACACCUUUUGGUUAAUUGCUUGUAUCUUUCCCAAGCUUCAUAGAAAGAUUCACCUUCCUUCUAUUUGAAGGUUUGGACUUCCACUCUAAGCUU